AAAUGAAUUGACGGGGGCCCGCACAAGCGGUGGAGUAUGUGGUUUAAUUCGAUGCAACGCGAAGAACCUUACCAGGGCUUGACAUCCCGGGAAUCCUGAUGAAAGUCGGGAGUGCCCUUCGGGGAACCCGGAGACAGGUGGUGCAUGGCUGUCGUCAGCUCGUGUCGUGAGAUGUUGGAUUAAGUUCCGCAACGAGCGCAACCCUCGUCUCAUGUUGCCAGCGGUUCGGCCGGGCACUCAUGCGAGACUGCCGUAGUAAUGCGGAGGAAGGUGGGGAUGACGUCAAGUCAGCAUGCCCCGUACGUCCUGGGCUACACACAUACUACAAUGCAUGAGGCAAACGGACGCUAACCCGUGAGGGGGCGCAAAUCCGAGAAGCUCAUGCUCAGUGCGGAUCGCAGGCUGCAACUCGCCUGCGUGAAGUCGGAAUCGCUAGUAACCGUCGGUCAGCAUUACGACGGUGAAUACGUUCCCGGGCCUUGUACACACCGCCCGU
This 496-nucleotide ribosomal RNA is filed under the name uncultured bacterium. Its description in RNAcentral is "bacterial SSU rRNA". It matches the Rfam family "Bacterial small subunit ribosomal RNA", at positions 903 to 1397 of the family's 1533-position model. The record is from RNAcentral.